This 446-nucleotide ribosomal RNA is filed under the name uncultured bacterium. RNAcentral's name for it is "partial 16S ribosomal RNA". It matches the Rfam family "Bacterial small subunit ribosomal RNA", at positions 338 to 795 of the family's 1533-position model. The record is from RNAcentral.
CCUACGGGGUGCAGCAGUCGAGAAUCAUUCACAAUGGGGGAAACCCUGAUGGUGCGACGCCGCGUGGGGGAAUGAAGGUCUUCGGAUUGUAAACCCCUGUCAUGUGGGAGCAAAUUAAAAAGAUAGUACCACAAGAGGAAGAGACGGCUAACUCUGUGCCAGCAGCCGCGGUAAUACAGAGGUCUCAAGCGUUGUUCGGAAUCACUGGGCGUAAAGCGUGCGUAGGCCGUUUCGUAAGUCGUGUGUGAAAGGCGCGGGCUCAACCCGCGGACGGCACAUGAUACUGCGAGACUAGAGUAAUGGAGGGGGAACCGGAAUUCUCGGUGUAGCAGUGAAAUGCGUAGAUAUCGAGAGGAACACUCGUGGCGAAGGCGGGUUCCUGGACAUUAACUGACGCUGAGGCACGAAGGCCAGGGGAGCGAAAAGGAUUAGAUACCCUUGUAGUC